GACGUAGGGCGCGAGCGUUGUCCGGAUUUAUUGGGCGUAAAGAGCUCGUAGGCGGCUUGUUGCGUCGUCCGUGAAAACUUGUGGCUUAACCACAGGCUGGCGGUCGAUACGGGCAGGCUGGAGUUCGGUAGGGGAGACUGGAAUUCCUGGUGUAGCGGUGAAAUGCGCAGAUAUCAGGAGGAACACCGGUGGCGAAGGCGGGUCUCUGGGCCGAUACUGACACUGAGGAGCGAAAGCGUGGGGAGCGAACAGG
This 253-nucleotide ribosomal RNA is filed under the name uncultured bacterium. RNAcentral's name for it is "partial 16S ribosomal RNA". It matches the Rfam family "Bacterial small subunit ribosomal RNA", at positions 524 to 776 of the family's 1533-position model. The record is from RNAcentral.